RNAcentral lists this ribosomal RNA (468 nucleotides) under uncultured bacterium. Its description in RNAcentral is "partial 16S ribosomal RNA". It matches the Rfam family "Bacterial small subunit ribosomal RNA", at positions 28 to 507 of the family's 1533-position model. The record is from RNAcentral.
GACGAACGCUGGCGGCGUGCUUAACACAUGCAAGUCGAACGGAAAGGCCCUGCUUUUGUGGGGUGCUCGAGUGGCGAACGGGUGAGUAACACGUGAGUAACCUGCCCUUGACUUUGGGAUAACUUCAGGAAACUGGGGCUAAUACCGGAUAGGAGCUCCUGCUGCAUGGUGGGGGUUGGAAAGUUUCGGCGGUUGGGGAUGGACUCGCGGCUUAUCAGCUUGUUGGUGGGGUAGUGGCUUGCCAAGGCUUUGACGGGUAGCCGGCCUGAGAGGGUGACCGGCCACAUUAGGACUGAGAAACGGCCCAGACUCCUACGGGAGGCAGCAGUGGGGAAUAUUGCACAAUGGGCGGAAGCCUGAUGCAGCAACGCCGCGUGCGGGAUGACGGCCUUCGGGUUGUAAACCGCUUUCGCCUGUGACGAAGCGUGAGUGACGGUAAUGGGUAAAGAAGCACCGGCUAACUACGUG